ACACGACUACAUUAGAUACCCGGGUAGUCCUAGCCGUAAACGAUACUCGCUAGGUGUCGGCCACGGUGCGACCGUUGUCGGUGCCGUAGGGAAGCCAUGAAGCGAGCCACCUGGGAAGUACGGCCGCAAGGCUGAAACUUAAAGGAAUUGGCGGGGAGCACCACAAGAGGUGGAGGCUGCGGUUCAAUUGGACUCAACGCCGGAAAACUCAUCGGGAGCGACAGCAGUAUGAUUGCCAGGUUGAUGACCUUGCUUGACAAGCUG
RNAcentral lists this ribosomal RNA (264 nucleotides) under uncultured archaeon. RNAcentral's name for it is "partial 16S ribosomal RNA". It matches the Rfam family "Archaeal small subunit ribosomal RNA", at positions 717 to 982 of the family's 1478-position model. The record is from RNAcentral.